RNAcentral lists this ribosomal RNA (492 nucleotides) under uncultured bacterium. RNAcentral's name for it is "partial 16S ribosomal RNA". It matches the Rfam family "Bacterial small subunit ribosomal RNA", at positions 29 to 507 of the family's 1533-position model. The record is from RNAcentral.
AGUGAACGCUGGCGGUAGGCCUAACACAUGCAAGUCGAACGGCAGCACAGUAAGAGCUUGCUCUUACGGGUGGCGAGUGGCGGACGGGUGAGGAAUACAUCGGAAUCUACUUUUUCGUGGGGGAUAGCGUAGGGAAACUUACGCUAAUACCGCAUACGACCUACGGGUGAAAGCAGGGGAUCUUCGGACCUUGCGCGAUUGAAUGAGCCGAUGUCGGAUUAGCUAGUUGGCGGUGUAAAGGCCCACCAAGGCGACGCGCCGUAGCUGGUCUGAGAGGAUGAUCAGCCACACUGGAACUGAGACACGGUCCAGACUCCUACGGGAGGCAGCAGUGGGGAAUAUUGGACAAUGGGCGCAAGCCUGAUCCAGCCAUACCGCGUGGGUGAAGAAGGCCUUCGGGUUGUAAAGCCCUUUUGUUGGGAAAGAAAAGCAGCAGGUUAAUACCCCGCUGUUCUGACGGUACCCAAAGAAUAAGCACCGGCUAACUUCGUG